This 465-nucleotide ribosomal RNA is filed under the name uncultured Klebsiella sp. RNAcentral describes it as "bacterial SSU rRNA". It matches the Rfam family "Bacterial small subunit ribosomal RNA", at positions 338 to 795 of the family's 1533-position model. Lineage: Bacteria; Pseudomonadati; Pseudomonadota; Gammaproteobacteria; Enterobacterales; Enterobacteriaceae. The record is from RNAcentral.
CCUACGGGCGGCUGCAGUGGGGAAUAUUGCACAAUGGGCGCAAGCCUGAUGCAGCCAUGCCGCGUGUGUGAAGAAGGCCUUCGGGUUGUAAAGCACUUUCAGCGGGGAGGAAGGCGGUGAGGUUAAUAACCUCAUCGAUUGACGUUACCCGCAGAAGAAGCACCGGCUAACUCCGUGCCAGCAGCCGCGGUAAUACGGAGGGUGCAAGCGCUAAUCGGAAUUACUGGGCGUAAAGCGCACGCAGGCGGUCUGUCAAGUCGGAUGUGAAAUCCCCGGGCUCAACCUGGGAACUGCAUUCGAAACUGGCAGGCUAGAGUCUUGUAGAGGGGGGUAGAAUUCCAGGUGUAGCGGUGAAAUGCGUAGAGAUCUGGAGGAAUACCGGUGGCGAAGGCGGCCCCCUGGACAAAGACUGACGCUCAGGUGCGAAAGCGUGGGGAGCAAACAGGAUUAGAUACCCCGGUAGUC